Molecule: transfer RNA, 83 nt
Filed under: Candidatus Woesearchaeota archaeon
Lineage: Archaea; Nanobdellati; Candidatus Woesearchaeota
Description: tRNA-Leu
Rfam family: tRNA
About the family: Transfer RNA (tRNA) molecules are approximately 80 nucleotides in length. Their secondary structure includes four short double-helical elements and three loops (D, anti-codon, and T loops).
Source: RNAcentral
GCCGCGGUCGCAUAAUCCGGAAGUGCGGGAGACUGAGAACCUCCGCCAGAAAUGGCAUCUGGGUUCAAAUCCCAGCCGCGGCG